GGAAGGCAGCCCAGGAAAUUAAUUCCUUUCCUCAUUCUACUCCCUCCCUUCCAUCUCCUGCUUCCUCUUGUCCAAACCCAAGCAGCAACCAGAGGCUCCUAGACCUCAGUUUCUGCAGAUCUAGAGGGCAGCCUUUAGGGUACAGAACCGGGAGGUAGGGGGCCAGGGGUAGGAAGUGGAUCUGGAGGGCACAGCCUGCUGUUCCACCCAGUUUUAUGUUGACAAAUUUCAAAAAAGGUUGAAAGAUUACAAGCUCCCCACCCUCUUCUGGAUUCACCAUUGCUCAGUUUGCUGCUUUUGUGCUUCUCAUGUACUGACGAUGUAUUUCGCUACCACCUGAAGGCCUGCAAAUUGGGAACACCCAUCCUCUCUACUUGUUCAAGGUCAUCAGUCCUGCCUUCUUUCCUAUUAAACAACAGCCACGUUGCACUCGCCCUCUGCAAUGGCCCACACUCUGUCUGUGGAGUGUGAUUCUCUGUAUCUGAAUAAAUCCAC
This is a long non-coding RNA of Bos taurus (domestic cattle), 495 nucleotides long. NCBI's taxonomy places the organism in Eukaryota, Metazoa, Chordata, Mammalia, Artiodactyla, Bovidae. The record is from Ensembl.